This 418-nucleotide ribosomal RNA is filed under the name uncultured fungus. Its description in RNAcentral is "eukaryotic LSU rRNA". The stretch from base 1 to 125 matches the Rfam family "5.8S ribosomal RNA", at positions 30 to 154 of the family's 154-position model. Lineage: Eukaryota; Fungi. The record is from RNAcentral.
GCAUCGAUGAAGAACGCAGCGAAACGCGAUAGGUAAUGUGAAUUGCAGAAUUCCGUGAAUCAUCGAAUCUUUGAACGCACCUUGCGCUCCAUGGCAUUCCGUGGAGCAUGCCUGUUUGAGCGCCGCGAAAUCUCCCACCCCUAGCGGUUGCCGCAAGGCGCCGCCGGGCGGCGGGGUUGGUUGGGUGCCGCUGCCUGGGCUUUGGCCCAGGCUCGCCCGAAAUGCAUGAGCGCUUAGCACUCGCACCGUCUCGAGGGAAGGCGGCGGAGCUGGCAUCUGCGCAUGGCAUGAUACGUCAUUUGCUGUGUGGCAGCCCGGCGACCCGAGAGUGUGUGUGCGCUACUACACGCCCUUUCAUUUCUGGUCUCAAAUCAGGUAGGAUCACCCGCUGAACUUAAGCAUAUCAAUAAGCGGAGGA